Molecule: ribosomal RNA, 119 nt
Filed under: Pteropus alecto (black flying fox)
Lineage: Eukaryota; Metazoa; Chordata; Mammalia; Chiroptera; Pteropodidae
Source: RNAcentral
GUCUAUGGCUAUGCUACCCUGAACAAACCCUAUCCUGUCCUAUCUCAGAAGCUAAGCAGGAUCGGGCCUGGUUAGUACUUGGAUGGGAGACCACCUAGGAAGACCAAGUGCUAUAGGAA